CGGAUUUGUAGAGUCCAAUGGAGUAGACAUGGUGAAGAAGAAGCUACUUGGGAACGUGAGGAUGCGUUGAAGAAGGAGUUUCCCUAUCUUUUCAGGAUUCAGCCAAAUCUGGAGGACGAGAUUCAAUUUAAGUGGGGUAGGUUUAUAACAUCCGUAAAAUUCACUAACUCAAAUCAUUCUAUAAAAAAUUGUCUUCAAAAUCUUUUGACCGUUGAGCUCCGGGAAUUUCUUUUCUUACUGACGACUUUGCCGUCCCGGCACCCAACGCCAACAACCAUCUUUUUCUUCCUCCACAAAUUUCACCACGUGCCCGUCAAAAAUUCGUCGCGCGUGCCCGACCGUUUUCCGCAUUUUUCACCAACUCUCCCUUUCUUCUCUCUCUUUCUUUUUCCCUUUUCCCUUUUUUUCACUUUUUUUCUUUUCCUUCUCUCUUUCUUCCUUCUUCUUCCUUCCUCCUCCUCCUUCUUCCUUCCUCUUUCUCCUUUCUUCCUGGCCGAGCACACGCUAGCCCCUCCCCUGGCGCCUACUCCUCCCCUAGCUGGCCCCAGUGCCACUCCCCCACGCCGGCACCUCUCCCUGGCUGCCCGACACCCAGCCCCACAAGCCUCAUCCUCCACGCCGUAGCUCUCAUUCCACAUGCUGCGCCGGCCCCCGACCGCACGCCGGCCAUCACUCGUCGCCCCUUUCCAUGCUGACCAUCGCUCUGUGUGCCCUGUGCUCCUUGCUGCCUGAGCCCGGCCCUGUCUCGCCCUCCACGUGGAGCUCCACUUCGCCACGCUGCUGGCCGAGAAUCUCGGCCGCCAUUAAAACGCCUCGCCGGCCACCGGCCCCUGCCACCCCUAUGCGCCGCUCGCCCCGCUCCCUCCUACCACCUAUAAAAGGGGGCCAAGGCCUGGCCUCCUCCCACACCACCAACGCCACCUCCCCCUGCACCCCAAGCGCCGUCCUUCCCCUACACGCCACCCGUCCACGCUGAAGCUCUGGCCGCCCCUACCCGCGCCGGCCCCUUCACUUCCCAUCAUCGAUUUGCCAAGGUGAGGGCCAAAAUGGAGUCCCCACGGCCCCCUCUACCUUUCCCCGCCACCAAUCCUCACCGCCGGCAAGCCUAGGCUGGCCGGCCACCACCGGUUUCCCCUCCUCCCCAUCUCUAUGUCACGGUCCAGGGAAGAAGAAGGCAAAAUUCCCUCCAAUUUUAAUCUAACCCCCUCCUCCUCCAUAUUCACAAACCAGCCCUCCCACCUCUCUCAAAGUUCUCUUGCAAGUAUUCCCUUCCACCUUCUAGAAAUUUUCAUGAAUAGGUCUCUGGUUCUCGCAGUUUAGUCCUAAAACUUGUUUUAAGCCCCUAAUACAUGGUUAUCUUAUCAUUUCAUGCGUCAAACUUCCUCCAAUUAAUCCCAAAUUCGCCCACGGCAUCCUCCAAUAUACUUCCGCUGAGUCAUCCCCAAAUUUCAUGAAAAUACUCAUUCCUUCUAUUUCUCAUUCGCGUUCUCUAUUCGAGCUCAACGGGUAAAGCUUUAAUUUUCUUUUAUUUAUUGUGUGCCCGAUUGUGUGAGCUGUAGAUCGUGGAGUACCCGAGGAGGAGCACGAGGAGGAGUUUGGAUGCAAGCCCGAACCCGAAGACCAGCAUUGCGAGCAAGAACUCCCGGAAGACUUUGAGGACGGCAAGUCCAAUCUCACCCUAUUGGCCUGUUUAUAAAAUUGCAUAUUGUUUUACUGCUGAAACAUGGUUGGAUAGCCACCCCUUGAUUGUUAUGAUUAUUC
RNAcentral lists this long non-coding RNA (1761 nucleotides) under Setaria viridis. Its description in RNAcentral is "long non-coding RNA (SVIR_LNC005590)". The record is from RNAcentral. Lineage: Eukaryota; Viridiplantae; Streptophyta; Magnoliopsida; Poales; Poaceae.